Non-coding RNA from Schistosoma haematobium, 44 nucleotides. The record is from Rfam. Lineage: Eukaryota; Metazoa; Platyhelminthes; Trematoda; Strigeidida; Schistosomatidae.
AUCCAGCUGACGAGUCUCAAAUAGCACAAAUGCGCAUCCUGGAU